CGGGCGGGGGCGGCCCCGGAGCCCAUUGGAGAGCGGGGAAGGAGGCAGGGAAAGGGGCAGGGUAAGGGGCAGGGUAGGAGACACGGUGGGCUGGCUCUCGGCCCCGCUCGGCUCGACAGUCCCGCCGCUGCAUCCCUCUGACACUGCUGAUACCUCUGGAGUCGCCUCUCUUCCUGCUCACAGUGCCACUGCCCAAGUCCUUGUAGCCGCUGGCACAAUGGAUGGCCGGACCUCAGGUCCCGCUGCGGAGCUUUGCUGAGCUCCCUGUUUAUGCUGAAGGAUGCACCUUUGCCAGGUGCUCCCAGGGCCGAGGGCAAGACACGAGGGGCAGAAGCUUCUGCUGAAGGCCUGGUCAGACCCAGGCAGGGCAGGCCACAGUUUUAUGCUGGAAAUUUCCAAGCUCAGAGUGUAACAGGGAAGCAGAGCCACCUCUUUUGGAAAGAAGGUAUCCAUCUCCCAUCCCAUCCCAUC
RNAcentral lists this long non-coding RNA (471 nucleotides) under Parus major (Great Tit). Its description in RNAcentral is "lncRNA (ENSPMJG00000007119.1)". The record is from RNAcentral. Lineage: Eukaryota; Metazoa; Chordata; Aves; Passeriformes; Paridae.